RNAcentral lists this long non-coding RNA (318 nucleotides) under Nicotiana benthamiana. Its description in RNAcentral is "long non-coding RNA (NBEN_LNC026661)". Lineage: Eukaryota; Viridiplantae; Streptophyta; Magnoliopsida; Solanales; Solanaceae. The record is from RNAcentral.
UGAUGAUGCCUCGUUCUAGUAAUUAUAAUUUUAAUUGUACUUGGUCCUAUUUUCAAUUCAACAACUAGCAAGUAUGGGACUGUAUUUCUUUUGUGUUUUUCAAGUAAUUGAAAUAGAAGUAGAACUGGUCAAAUGGAACUGGACACUAACAUGUUUCCCUUCUCCAUUUUCUGCAACUUUAGGACCAUCUUUUAUAGAAGUAGAAAUGGUCAAAUGGAACUGAACAAUGAAUGUAGCCAGUAGCGUGGACAGAAUGUGUACAAUUUGUAAAUGUCUUCCGUGGACAGAAAAUGUGUACAAUUUGGUAUAACAUUGCAG